This is a long non-coding RNA of Nothoprocta perdicaria, 672 nucleotides long. RefSeq lists it as uncharacterized. NCBI's taxonomy places the organism in Eukaryota, Metazoa, Chordata, Aves, Tinamiformes, Tinamidae. The transcript is spliced from 3 exons. The record is from RefSeq and is a predicted model, not a curated record.
GAAUACACCCAGGACAGCUGAUAUCUCAAACUCCCUUCUCUGCACACAUUCUUGCAGCACCUGCUCUGUCCCCUUUCCAGGCUGUGUUGAAAGUGCAAGCUAAAAACAGGAAUGUCUCUGCAUGGCCAGCCUCAAGUGGGAUUGUUGUGCGUGUGUGUGUAGCACCCUAGAUAUAGGAAGGCAGAUGGCUGUCACCUUUCUAUUUUCCUCCUUACUAUAUGGCCUCUGUAGACAGUAGGCAUUUGCUCUAAUUUACAUUGUCACAUUAUUUGAAUUCAUGCCCAUUUUCUGUAUUUUGCAAUACUUGUUCUUCUCUAAAGUUAUUUAGUAUUUUCUGUUGGUAAUAAKGCCUACCUUCUACACUGAGGACAAGUUCUGCUUUUAAUCUACCUGGGGUGACAUUCAAUGCAAGAAGCUCAUACUGAAGAGGUGGUUCACCUCUACUGCCUUUUGAACAAGCCUGAUCUUUGUAUCACAAAGAAGAAACAUGAAAAAAAGACACUGUCAUGCAAGAAAAGAGCUUUUCUUAUUUAACACAUACACUGCUAACCAAGAAGUGUAGGCAUCACACAURAAGACAUGCAUCAAAAUGUCCCUGGAGAUGCUAAUGGAAGAAAGGAUCUACUGCAAAGAAUCUGAAUUGUGUACAGACAGAUCACUAACCAUAUGACA